GGGUCUUUUGUAGGAUGAGAUUGAGUUAUUAACAAAUGAAGGAGCAAAUACGCAUCCAAAUUUGGUGAAGUUGUAUACGUGCUGUUUUGAUAGGAGGCUCGCAGUUGUCUAUGAUGCAGAGUUCACUAGAGUCUUGUCGAACGUGCUUCUGGAUGAUGACUUUGGGUGGGAUAAGCGGAUGAAAGUGGCAACCCAACUCGCAGAUCUCUUCUCGUGGUUGCACAUGAAUGGGAUUGCAGUUGGAAGCGUUACAACUUCAUGUAUUAUGAUAGAUGACGAAGUGAACAUAAAAGUGUUUUGACUUUGGAUACGUAUCAAAUCAUGUGAAAGAAGAUACUAAAAUUUCUGUUCUAGCUUGUGUUGGCCGGGAAGCUCCAGAGAUUUUCA
Molecule: long non-coding RNA, 387 nt
Organism: Capsicum annuum
Lineage: Eukaryota; Viridiplantae; Streptophyta; Magnoliopsida; Solanales; Solanaceae
Exons: 3
Source: RefSeq, a predicted model, not a curated record